CUCCGGAAACUCUUCAAGGUUACUGUUUAUUAUUUCAUAACUUGCCAGGAAUACCCAUUGAUGUAGUGUUAGGUCUAAUUUACUAUUAUUGAUCAUUGGGAGGAAUAUUUUUUCUUCCUCGGUUACCUCCGUAAUGAGAGGAAACCCUCCUUGCACGUUCUUAUGUUCCGGGUCAACCACCAGGGUAGUACCAGGUGCUUCAUCCACUUUGAUUUCCCUCAUAGCGGCACUGAAAGGUGGUAAUUUUAAUUUUGCUCUUAGUCUCACGAAAGCUUUGGUCGGGGAAGAUUUGUUGGUGGUAAUGGAUUGGAUCUUUAUGAGAGUCACCUUCCCGUAUAGCGAAUGUUCAUGAUAUUUAAGUGGGUAGGUGACAUUAUUCCAGAUAAUUUUCUUGUUUCGGUGGUCAAGGGUUAGGGUUACUCUUCCCAGGGCAUUCAUGCCCAACAACAACGCUGGUUCUAAGUAAUUAUCGGGUACGAUGGCUAGGGGUACUUCUAAAGGUUGGUUGUCACCAACUAUGAUGGAGGUAGUGGUUUGCCCUAGGAUUCUGAGUUUCUUCCCUGUGAUCCCUUGUAAUUGCGGGAUGGUUUUUCCUGUAACCACCUUGAGAUUGAGUUGUUGCACCACUCUUUGAUUAGUGACAUUUCGCUACCAGUAUCGAGCAGGGCCUCUAGCAUAUGGCUUUUGAUGUUGACUGUGAUUAUUGGGGACCAGCUUGCGCCAGUCACCGUAUCUGAAAGGUCUUCCUCCCUGGACAACCAGGGUACUCUUCGGCAGUUCAUCCUCAAACAAUCAAAACACGAACCGGAUUCUUAAAACAUGACUGCACGUAGUGUGUUGUGGACCUACAAUACGGGCAGUACACGUAUGUCCUUCUCUCUCGAGGUGGUUUCUUUUGCUCUUCCCACCGCUCUAGUCUGCGCUCGAUUCGAUCGAGAUAGGAGGCUAAGGCGGUAGGCUCGGCCAAGGAUUCAGCCUGCGGGGAUGUUAAUGGUGAUGCUCCAGUGACUGAUGCACCAGCUGAAGGAGCGUAGUCCUUCACCAUAAAGACAAGUCUUUUUCCUUGCUAGGGCUACUAGUAGUUCUAGUUUUUCCAGGAAGGUGUCAAGGGGAAAGUUAUUGUCUGUAUAUAAUUCUAGCCUUUCCCUGCUGUCCCGAGGCAUUCCCUUUAGCAGCUUUGACUUAAUUACUUUUUCUCUUGGGGACUUCCAGGAGGGCGAAUUUACAUUCAAGUUGGGUGACAAAUUCAGUAGAGUCUUCCUCAUAUGAAUAUUUGAGGUCAAUUAAGGCGUCGAAUACUUUAACUUUACUGAUCUGUUAGUUCCCGGAUCGGUGAUUUCUUGAACUCUUCCCACUCCACCACGGGGCCAUGCUUCAGAGUGCUUUGAAUGUAAACUGCUAAUUCGGCGUCUACUCGACUCAAAGCUAUUCUUUUUCGAUCUUACCCCCGUGGGGUAUAUUGUUUUAUCUGGGAAAGGAAUACCUCAAAUCUACCUCCUACUCCCUUCAAGUGUCUUCUUUCAAGGAUGGGCAUGUCCCUUGGUUCGAGUAGUGGUUUAGUGACCGUGUCUUCUUGGCCUCUACGUAAUCGGUCCACUAAUUCUAACAUUGAGGUUUUGAGAAAAUCUAACUCUUCCUCGAGUUCUUCCAUUUUCACUGUCACCCGCUUGUGGCCCUUUGACUGUUUGUGCCCUAGGGUCUUCCUGGUCAGUGUCAGUACGCUGUUGGUCUGGGCAGUGUUCACUUUCCCAUGGGCCCAGCAUGUCUGCUAUCUCUUCCUUUACAGUUUUCUCCAUUGUAGUUUUCUCCAUUGUGUCAAAGUUCCAUAAGCAAACUAAAUAUAUAAAACCCAUGAACGUGAUAAUUACCGCGCCAUUGCAGACUACCACUUUCCAUUACUCUGCGAGAGACUAACCACGCGCACGCUCCUUCCACCUCCUCCCUUUCCACCUCAUACUGCCUGAAUACAGUCAUCCUCAAAGAAAUUCCCGGCUUUGGCUCCUGGUGCACGAAAAAUAUCUAUUCGAAUUUCUUUUUCCGAUACCUCCAAUUCCCUUGGAAUAUGACUAUGCCCUACAAGUGCUACUC
Long non-coding RNA from Eriocheir sinensis (Chinese mitten crab), 2088 nucleotides. RefSeq lists it as uncharacterized. The transcript is spliced from 2 exons. Lineage: Eukaryota; Metazoa; Arthropoda; Malacostraca; Decapoda; Varunidae. The record is from RefSeq and is a predicted model, not a curated record.